GACCUCGCGCGAUUGGAGCGGCCGAUAUCAGAUUAGGUAGUUGGUGGGGUAAAAGCCUACCCAGCCGACGAUCUGUAGCUGGUUUGAGAGGACGACCCGCCCCCCUGGGACUGAGACCCGGCCCCGACUCCUUCGGGAGGCAGCAGUGGGGAAUUUUGGACAAUGGGCGCCAGCCUGAUCCCGCAAUGCCGCGUGCAGGAAGAAGGCCUUCGGGUUGUAAACUGCUUUUGUACGGAGCGAAAAGGCUUCCCCUAAUACUGGGGGCUCCUGUCGAAAGCGUAAGAAUAAGCCCCGGCUAACUACGUGCCAGC
Molecule: ribosomal RNA, 311 nt
Filed under: uncultured bacterium
Lineage: Bacteria
Description: bacterial SSU rRNA
Rfam family: Bacterial small subunit ribosomal RNA
Source: RNAcentral